GUCUGUAGCCAUUCCAUCCUGAAUGUACCCGAAGGCAUGUGAUUUUAGAAGCUGAGCAGCGUCGGACCUGGUUGGCACUUGGAUGCUCCUGGAAUGGCCCAGGACAACAAAAGGAAUGACAGUCU
This 125-nucleotide ribosomal RNA is filed under the name Echinops telfairi (small Madagascar hedgehog). Lineage: Eukaryota; Metazoa; Chordata; Mammalia; Afrosoricida; Tenrecidae. The record is from RNAcentral.